This is a long non-coding RNA of Pyrgilauda ruficollis (rufous-necked snowfinch), 2631 nucleotides long. RefSeq lists it as uncharacterized. The transcript is spliced from 3 exons. Lineage: Eukaryota; Metazoa; Chordata; Aves; Passeriformes; Passeridae. The record is from RefSeq and is a predicted model, not a curated record.
CCAGUCAAAAUUGCCUGCUUGGACAAAUACGAGGUGAUAAAGUGAAGAAACACAGCUCAAGUGUCAGGAAAACAUUCUCUAAUUGCACAAGUAGUAAAAUCAUGGCAUGGAUUACUUGGGGAGAAGGUGGCAUAUUCUUGUCUGAAUUUUUGCAAGAAAAAGUGUGAUGAAUGUUUUUCAGAGAUGGUCUAAGUUAUUUAUUCUGUUUUAGAGCAAGGAAAAAGAUUAAAUAAGUGACGCUCCAGGUGGCUUCUAGGCAUGGGUUUUUUAGAUUCUCUUAAGUGGGCACUUUGGGUCUUUUAAGAUCACUGCUUCUUGGGUGGGGUCAGCACAAGAAUAGACAUUGUACUGUGGGAAUUUUCCUUCAGGCAGAUGGUCAUACAAGAAAAAGUUGUGGGUUUUACUGAAAACAGUUAUUCUUUACCUGCUCUCCAGAACUUCAGACAAGAAUGCCCAGCUUCCCAGGUUGAAAUACUGUGCAUCAGAUAGUAUAAGCAUUCCUGGAAGACACAACAGAUUAUGUGAAAGUGUUAAAAUGUUUUUGCAUGAGCAUCAUUUUUAUUGAAGAGUUGUGCUCCAAUGAUGAGGAACAAAGGUAGGGCAUGUGAUAGAAAUGUGCAGUGUAAACAGCUCACAUGGCUCCUAGCAAUUGCAUGGUUUUGAUUGGAUAAUAGACCAUGAACUGUAUUUGUGAAAAUUAUUCAGCAGUUUCAAAACCCACAAAUAUUUAGGAAAGCUGUGCCUUUCUGGAGGCACCUGGCAACCAGAUAAAGAACCAAAGUUCAUUAAUAGAUGAGUCAUUGCUUCUAUGUCCGUGCCUGAGAUAUCCACAUAAACUCUCACUGGCUUCAGCAGGUGGUGUGGUCAGACUAAAGGACAGUGUGGUCUCUGGGCCAGGUUCUGGCCUGACUUCAGGCUCACACUGAUUUGUUGGUGAUUUUAAGCAAACAGAGAAAAAAGAAUGCCUCAGCUGACAAGGUUCAUUAGCACUCCUCUUUCUCCCCUUCCUCUUCUCAUCCCAUCACUCUCAUUGCUUCUUCUGCUCCUUGUAGGGCCAGGGACUUGCUGUCCCUUUUUCUGGGUAGUGACCACAUGGCCAAUCUCUCUGCAAAGCCCUGACUUGCUGGUGAUAGCCACAGAACUUCAUGGCCAUCACGGGUUUCUUCCAGACUACCUUGUCCUUGCUACAUGGAUGAUUGUUGCUCAUGAAGCAGGGUCUGCUUUCAAUAGAACUUUCAAUAGUUCUCUGUAUUUUAUGUUGAGUUACAGAAGUACUGAUCUAGUUGACUACAUGGAUUUGCAACCAGCAGCUCAGCAGCUGCUUCAUGAACCAUCCUUCCAGGACGGGAACAUCACAAAGAUGGAUUCCUUUAGCAAGGAAGAUAUGACAGGUUGUGAUAUUGGACUGCAGUGAAGUUCCGCCGGUGCUGUUCUACCCUUCAUGAGUGAGCACUGCUGGGCUGUGCAGCUGACAAGCUCGUGCCCUUUUUUUGGGAGUAGGCUGAAUCAAGCCUCUGUCAAGAAGCACAGCUGAAAUACUGAAUUAACAUACCCAAGACCAGCACAUCAGGAGGACAGCCUUCUACCAAGAAUAAUGUGGAGAUAUACCUUGUUCACGGAAGCUCUGGAAACAUCGUGAGACUUGGACAGACACAGUGCAUCCUCAGAAGGCAGAGAUGUUGCUGCUCUCUGAGCAUUGCACACUCUGUGUUCAUGCCUGAUGGAAAUAAUGCCCAGUUUUGGGGGAGCUUGGUGGUAUGGGAGACAGUCACAGCAGCUCUAAUAGGGUGGCUUAUCACUUUCUUGUGAAGCCAGGUACAGAUUCUGUUCUCUUUUACACCCACAAAUCUGGUAUAAUAUUAAUUAGAUUGUCAUUAGGUUGUAUUAGUGAAGAUCCAUAAAACAAAAAAGAGGAAAGGUUCUAUAGUCAUGCUAAAACUUGGUAUGUCAUUUAUAUGAAGGGGGUGAACAGAGAUCAUUAGCCAUGAAACAUUGCUUUUCCAGAAAUAUGAAAUAUUUAGGUAAAAUAUCUAGGUAAAAUCUAACAAAAAUUUGAUUACUGCCUGAUAAAAUGGUGUCUCUUCCCUUCUAAAUAGAUUUGAUCAUCUCCUUAAUGCAAGCCCUGCACCUUCACCUAGAUUCCUUCCCAGGCAGCUACAGUGGAUCUGCUCACCAAUGGAAUUUGUCCCACUGGAUUCUUUUUUUUUUUUUUCUGUGCAGUUGAAUUAAAAGUGUGUGUCUUUUGAAGAACAGCAACUGAAAGAAAUAUUGAUGACUGCCAGGGCAUCUACAGAAAAAGAUAAGAAAAUUACUCUACUACAACAGUGAAGACAAAGGGGCUUUGUUAACACUUUCUUGUAGGUUGUAUAUAUUAAUAGUAACAAGUAAAGUUUUGUAUUUUUUCAGAGAAACACACAAGGCCUUGAAUUGUAUUGUUUUAAUUGCAACUAACUGAAUGAAUUAAGUGGAAAAUUGCACACAGUACUUUGAUUGUCUAAUUCUCUGUAUGUGAGGCUUUGGGAACAGUUUGUUAUUAUAAAAGAACAGCACUAACCAGAAAUCAGCCAACAUGUAAUUGCUAGGCUGAGGGGCAGUUUGGGGAGAGCUGUUACUUAUUUAUACAUUAUUAAA